RNAcentral lists this long non-coding RNA (938 nucleotides) under Oryza sativa (Asian cultivated rice). RNAcentral's name for it is "long non-coding RNA (OSAT_LNC000498)". Lineage: Eukaryota; Viridiplantae; Streptophyta; Magnoliopsida; Poales; Poaceae. The record is from RNAcentral.
AUGGAUGAUACGCAUCAUUGCUGGUCUGGUUCACCUCAGCUGGCUACUGAAAGCUCUGCAGCUAGCUCUGCCAUCUCCCACGUCAAGCUGAGGCUGCGUUCUUUUCAGGCUAGUCGUCAUCGUUUUCCGUUAGCACGCUUUUCAAACUACUAAACGGUGCAUUUUUCUGUAAAAAGUUUCUAUACGAAAGUUACUUAAAAAAAUCAUAUUAGUCCAUUUUUUUUAAAAAGAAUAGCAGAUACUUAAUUAAUCAUGUGCUAAUGGAUCGCUCCGUUUUCCGUAAUCACUGUUGACAAGAAGAAAGAACGCAGCCUGAGCCCGUUUGCUUCUCCUCACCGCCACCCCAGCUCACCGUCUCGCUCACCUCAAAUCACCCCGUCCCCUCCCGCCGCUGCCGCUGCCGCUGCCUGACGACAAGACCUCUCCUCUCCGCUCCGCGGCGGCCGCCGAUGAAUCGGAAUUUACCCUUCUGCCCCGGAUACUCCAUGGCGACGACGAGGGGCACAUCGGUAAAAAGCGCGGGGGAGGUCGCCUCGCCGGCGAGACGGCGGUUGAAUUUACCCAUCUACCCCGCCCCAUCCCGGCCCGUCGCUAUCCUCUCCGUGGGGAGGGGUAGAAGGGUAAAAGCACCCGCGCCGCGUUCGCGCGGGAAAUCCGGGAGGGGGAUUUGUACUACUGUGCUCGUUUUUAUUAAUACCGUCGCUUCGCUUCUGCUGCUGGGGUUUCGUGUUCAUCUCGCCUUGCCCUUGGCUCGCGUCGGGGCGGAUGCGGAGGCGGCGUCGCUGUCCCCGAUCGAAUGCUGCCGCUGCUGCGCCCCCUCACUUUCGAGAUCUGAGCGCGUGACGCCCGCCUCUCCGGCUCCGAGGUAUGUUGCUCUCCUUUGCGAUGGUUUUGGUUUGGCCGCCGAUUGAUUGAGAGGAGUUCUGGGAGGGGAGGCA